This is a non-coding RNA of Pelobates cultripes (western spadefoot toad), 218 nucleotides long. NCBI's taxonomy places the organism in Eukaryota, Metazoa, Chordata, Amphibia, Anura, Pelobatidae. The record is from the annotation of a GenBank genome assembly.
GGCUGCUUGCACUGCUGCAGGCUUCUCAUUCAGCCCUGUAGCCAGGGAGUAAUCCUCAAACUCAGCUCUGAAGUUAUCCCAGUUACUGCUGCAAUCCCCACUCACCCUCAUUGCCUCAGGUAGUGGAAUGCUAUGAGCAGCUGCCAUGAUGCUGGUUUUCUUGUUUCCAGUGCUCAGCUUGCAGGACAGUAGUAGCUGUAAUUGCUACAGCAGGCACA